CCUACGGGAGGCUGCAGUGGGGAAUAUUGGGCAAUGGGCGCAAGCCUGACCCAGCAACGCCGCGUGAAGGAAGAAGGCCCUCGGGUUGUAAACCUCUUUUGUCAGGGACGAAAUAAUUGACGGUAGCUGAGGAAUAAGUCACGGCUAACUACGUGCCAGCAGCCGCGGUAAUACGGAGGUCGCAAGCGUUAUCCGGAUUUACUGGGGGUAAAGGGAGUGGAGGGGGGAGGGCAAGUCAGAUGUGAAAUUCCAGGGCUUAACCGUGGAACUGCGUUUGAAACUGGUUUUCUUGAGUGCUGGAGAGGCAGGCGGAAUUCCGUGUGUAGCGGUGAAAUGCGUAGAUAUACGGAGGAACACCGGUGGCGAAGGCGGCCUGCUGGACAUUAACUGACGCUGAGGCGCGAAAGCGUGGGGAGCAAACAGGAUUAGAUACCCCGGUAGUC
Molecule: ribosomal RNA, 443 nt
Filed under: uncultured bacterium
Lineage: Bacteria
Description: partial 16S ribosomal RNA
Rfam family: Bacterial small subunit ribosomal RNA
Source: RNAcentral